GCUGCCAGUUGCCAACGGGUGAAGCCGGGCACUCUGGCGGGACUGCCAUCGACAAGAUGGAGGAAGGUGGGGAGUGACGUCAAGUCAUCAUGGCCCUUAUGUCCAGGGCGACACACGUGCUACAAUGGCCGGCACAGCGGGAAGCGAGGCAGUGAUGCCAAGCGGAUCCCUUAAAGCCGGUCUCAGUUCGGAUUGAAGUCUGCAACUCGACUUCAUGAAGCUGGAAUCGCUAGUAAUCGCAGAUCAGCCAAGCUGCGGUGAAUACGUUCCCGGGCCUU
This 278-nucleotide ribosomal RNA is filed under the name uncultured Synergistaceae bacterium. Its description in RNAcentral is "partial 16S ribosomal RNA". It matches the Rfam family "Bacterial small subunit ribosomal RNA", at positions 1107 to 1382 of the family's 1533-position model. The record is from RNAcentral. Lineage: Bacteria; Thermotogati; Synergistota; Synergistia; Synergistales; Synergistaceae.